CCUACGGGGGACAGCAGUGAGGAAUAUUGGGCACUGGGCGAAAGCCUGAACCAGCCAUGCCGCGUGCAGGAAGACGGCCCUAGGAGUUUUAAAUUGUUUCUGUACGAGGGUAAACACAGAUACUUGUACCUGCUUGCAAGUACCGUCCGACUAAGGACCGGCUAACUCCGUUCCAGCAGCCGCGGUAAUACGGAGGGUCCAAGCGUUAUCCGGAUUUAUUGGGUUUAAAGGGUACUUAGGCGGUUUAGUAAGUCAGCGGUGAAAUUUUGGGGCUCAACAGCACACGUGCCGUGGAUACUGGUGAGCUAGAGAGUAGUAGCGGUAGGCGGAAUGUAUGGUGUAGCGGUGAAAUGCUUAGAGAGC
This 363-nucleotide ribosomal RNA is filed under the name uncultured bacterium. RNAcentral describes it as "partial 16S ribosomal RNA". It matches the Rfam family "Bacterial small subunit ribosomal RNA", at positions 338 to 698 of the family's 1533-position model. The record is from RNAcentral.